Helianthus annuus (common sunflower) is the source of this 1748-nucleotide long non-coding RNA. RefSeq lists it as uncharacterized. NCBI's taxonomy places the organism in Eukaryota, Viridiplantae, Streptophyta, Magnoliopsida, Asterales, Asteraceae. The record is from RefSeq and is a predicted model, not a curated record. The transcript has 4 exons.
GCUAAGGAUAAUUGUACCCUUGGCUUUGGGUGUUUUCCAAAAAAAAUUUGGAGAUGGCCGACUCGUCAACUUCUUCAAUGUCUUUCUCAUCUCAAACAAAUCAAAACCCUAAUCCCUCACCCACCAGUCCAUCACCGCCCUCAUGUCUCCCACCACUAUCGUUCGCCGCCAACCCACACCAGCGGAGAAACCGUGACAACUAGAUGAACGGUUGCAUUGGAGCAGACGCAACGACAACUUUUAGGGUUCAUGUGCUCAUCUCCUCGCCGGGAUUCGGUGCAUUUUUGGUCCAGCUUUUCUAAUUAGGCAUAUUUAUGUUACGAGAGGGUAGUUGUAGUUUUGAUGUUGAUGGCUUCCAUCCUCUCAACAUUGGCAAACUUGCUAUGAAAGGCAAAGACACACUCUUUCUUCCCUACACCCCAGAGGUAACAUAUGCCUUUUUAUAACUUAAUUACAUAUGUUAAGAUAUUUCUGGGUUUAGUGUUUUGGGGUUCUUAGAACCCACCCUAUAUGGAUGCCCAAAACCGAUCUGCCAUUGACGUCAAGGUAUGAUUUGCAAUCCUUUCGCUUUCUUAUUUCUUGGUUUUGACAGAUUAUGGAUUAUAUGAGAGUCAUCCUUUAACAUUGUAUUUUUUUUUUCGUGUAGCAAAGCUGCCAAGUAGCGUGCGUGUGCAAAAGAAAGAUUAGAUAUUUACAUAACAUUAAAAGAUCUUUAUAUGUUGAAUCUUAAAUGUUCAUAUCGCGGGGAUUUGUUAUUGUGAAAGAACUUGAGCAACUUGAGCGCCAACUUGAAUUUACUUUGAGUCAAAUUUGGUGCAUAAGGGUAUGUUUAGUGUGUUUCUACUAGCUAUAUAAUCUGAGGAGGUGUUUGAAUGAUUCAUCUCGGAUAUGGAUGGCGGGGAUUUGAUUGGAGUAUCGGCGAUAGUUCAGUCAAACUCCGCAGAAGUAGAACAGAAUGAACAGACAAUAAUGAAUAGACAAUGGUUGGAUGAAAAUGGGUUUGAAUCGCGAGUAAAAGGAAGGGGCUUUUUGAUUCGCGGGUGGGCAACACAAGUUCUGAUCCUAUCGCACCGAGCCGCAGGUAUUAAAGUGUACAAGAUGCAGCUUUUAGAGGGCUUGAAGGAUGUUAGAGGCUGGCGUGAUCAAGAUGUGUGAAAACAAAGGAAAAUGAAGGAACUAGGAGCAAAAGAUCACUCAGAGCCGUAAGCUACGCCACCAGGCCGUAGCUUACGGCACCUAUAGCAUGCCAAAAAUUAGUGCCGUAAGACAGGAGCACAGGACCGUAAAGAACAUUGAUCGCCGUAAGCUACGGCGGUGAGCCGUAGCAUACGGCACUGCUUGAACCCCGGAAAUUCACUGAUCACCGUAAGCUACGGCAGGGGGCCGUAGCUUACGGCGCCGAUUGAACCAAAGUCGUAACCGAUGCAUUUAUGAGCAUUUUGAAGACAUAUUAUGAUUACUAAUCAUGUGUGGUCGGUUACUACUUGAGAAAAACGAGUGGGGGACUAUUUGAAGGCACUUGGGGAGCUAGGAAACAUAUCUUUGCAUAAUCUUUUCACUAGAAUCAUUGGGGAACAAUCUUUGCAUUAUAUUCUUGUCUUUGUUGGUGGAACUUGUGAACUUUGGUUUUAUUUCUAUUUUGUCAUGAUGUGUGUUAAAGCCAUGAGUGGCUAGGUACUUUAAUGACUAUCUUGUGGUGAAGGUUUGUUUAGACUUUUGUGUUCUUAUUUGCAUUUCUAGAAUAUCAA